CGGCAUGCUUAACACAUGCAAGUCGACGGCGAGGGGCAACUCGCAGUGGCGGACGGGUGAGUAACGACGUAGGAAUCUAUCCUUGAAUGGGGGACAACCGUGGGAAACUACGGCUAAUACCGCAUGAUGCCUGAGGGCCAAAGACGAAAGUCGUUUGAGGAGGAGCCUGCGUCUGAUUAGGUAGUUGGUGGGGUAAAGGCCUACCAAGCCCUACGAUCAGUAGCUGGUCUGAGAGGAUGAUCAGCCACAUUGGGACUGAGACACGGCCCAAACUCCUACGGGAGGCAGCAGUGGGGAAUAUUGGACAAUGGGCGCAAGCCUGAUCCAGCAAUGCCGCGUGGGUGAAGAAGGUCUUCGGAUUGUAAAGCCCUUUUGGCGGGGACGAUGAUGACGGUACCCGCAGAAUAAGCUCCGGCUAACUUCGUG
Molecule: ribosomal RNA, 426 nt
Filed under: uncultured bacterium
Lineage: Bacteria
Description: bacterial SSU rRNA
Rfam family: Bacterial small subunit ribosomal RNA
Source: RNAcentral